RNAcentral lists this ribosomal RNA (165 nucleotides) under uncultured bacterium. RNAcentral's name for it is "partial 16S ribosomal RNA". It matches the Rfam family "Bacterial small subunit ribosomal RNA", at positions 368 to 525 of the family's 1533-position model. The record is from RNAcentral.
ACAAUGGGCGCAAGCCUGAUCCAGCCAUACCGCGUGGGUGAUGACAGGCCUUCGGGUUGUAAAGCCCUUUUGUUGGGAAAGAAAAGCAGUCUGCUAAUACCCGGUUGUUCUGACGGUACCCAAAGAGAAGCACCGGCUAACUUCGUGCCAGCAGCCGCGGUAAUA